GACGAACGCUGGCGGCGUGCUUAACACAUGCAAGUCGAACGGAAAGGCCCUGCUUUUGUGGGGUGCUCGAGUGGCGAACGGGUGAGUAACACGUGAGUAACCUGCCCUUGACUUUGGAAUGACUUCAGGAAACUGGGGCUAAUACCGGAUAGGAGCUCCUGCUGCAUGGUGGGGGUUGGAAAGUUUCGGCGGUUGGGGAUGGACUCGCGGCUUAUCAGCUUGUUGGUGGGGUAGUGGCUUACAAAGGCUUUGACGGGUAGCCGGCCUGAGAGGGUGACCGGCCACAUUGGGACUGAGGUACGGCCCAGACUCCUACGGGAGGCAGCAGUGGGGAAUAUUGCACAAUGGGCGGAAGCCUGAUGCAGCAACGCCGCGUGCGGGAUGACGGCCUUCGGGUUGUAAACCGCUUUCGCCUGUGACGAAGCGUGAGUGACGGUAAUGGGUAAAGAAGCACCGGCUAACUACGUG
Molecule: ribosomal RNA, 468 nt
Filed under: uncultured bacterium
Lineage: Bacteria
Description: partial 16S ribosomal RNA
Rfam family: Bacterial small subunit ribosomal RNA
Source: RNAcentral